AGACCCGAAACCCGGUGAUCUAGCCAUGGGCAGGUUGAAGGUUGGGUAACACUAACUGGAGGACCGAACCGACUAAUGUUGAAAAAUUAGCGGAUGACCUGUGGCUGGGGGUGAAAGGCCAAUCAAACCGGGAGAUAGCUGGUUCUCCCCGAAAGCUAUUUAGGUAGCGCCUCGUGAAUUCAUCUCCGGGGGUAGAGCACUGUUUCGGCUAGGGGGCCAUCCCGGCUUACCAACCCGAUGCAAACUGCGAAUACCGGAGAAUGUUAUCACGGGAGACACACGGCGGGUGCUAACGUCCGUCGUGAAGAGGGAAACAACCCAGACCGCCAGCUAAGGUCCCAAAGUCAUGGUUAAGUGGGAAACGAUGUGGGAAGGCCCAGACAGCCAGGAUGUUGGCUUAGAAGCAGCCAUCAUUUAAAGAAAGCGUAAUAGCUCACUGGUCGAGUCGGCCUGCGCGGAAGAUGUAACGGGGCUAAACCAUGCACCGAAGCUGCGGCAGCGAACGUAUCACCCAAGACAACUUUACGGAGUUGACGAUUGACGGAGCGAAGCGACGUCAAAGCGUUCAUUAAAGUCGAGUUGGCUUAGGGAUACGUUCGUUGGGUAGGGGAGCGUUCUGUAAGCCUGUGAAGGUGUGUCGUGAGGCAUGCUGGAGGUAUCAGAAGUGCGAAUGCUGACAUAAGUAACGAUAAAGCGGGUGAAAAGCCCGCUCGCCGGAAGACCAAGGGUUCCUGUCCAACGUUAAUCGGGGCAGGGUGAGUCGACCCCUAAGGCGAGGCCGAAAGGCGUAGUCGAUGGGAAACGGGUUAAUAUUCCCGUACUUGGUGUUACUGCGAAGGGGGGACGGAGAAGGCUAUGUUGGCCGGGCGACGGUUGUCCCGGUUUAAGCGUGUAGGUGUGUGUUCCAGGUAAAUCCGGUUCACUUUAACACUGAGGCGUGACGACGAGGCACUACGGUGCUGAAGCAACAAAUGCCCUGCUUCCAGGAAAAGCCUCUAAGCAUCAGGUAACAUCAAAUCGUACCCCAAACCGACACAGGUGGUCAGGUAGAGAAUACCAAGGCGCUUGAGAGAACUCGGGUGAAGGAACUAGGCAAAAUGGUGCCGUAACUUCGGGAG
RNAcentral lists this ribosomal RNA (1118 nucleotides) under Salmonella enterica. RNAcentral's name for it is "partial 23S ribosomal RNA". It matches the Rfam family "Bacterial large subunit ribosomal RNA", at positions 711 to 1742 of the family's 2925-position model. RNAcentral also lists the same sequence under 1 other name. The record is from RNAcentral. Lineage: Bacteria; Pseudomonadati; Pseudomonadota; Gammaproteobacteria; Enterobacterales; Enterobacteriaceae.